Oreochromis aureus is the source of this 824-nucleotide long non-coding RNA. Lineage: Eukaryota; Metazoa; Chordata; Actinopteri; Cichliformes; Cichlidae. The record is from Ensembl.
AGAAACGAUAUAAAUUUGGCCAACGAUAGAGAUUUUGACUAUACCGCUCUAUCGCGAUAGCGCAUGUUGAUGAUGUCAUCAAGCUGCGCCUGUUUCGGUCGAAAGCAUAGCAGUGGCUACAACCAUUAUCAUCUGCAAAUUAUGCCGGGUGACAGUCAUAGCAAAGAGAUGAAGCACUUUUGAAAUAUGGGGAAAGCCAAAAACUGCGCUUCCUCCACUUCCUGUACGGAGUUUGGGACCCAGAUUACUCCGCGAAGCUCCUCACUACGGCAGCCGUAAUGCUCUGACAAUCCAUCAAGCAGUGUGGCUUACCAAAGUUGUACUAAAACAUUUUUAACAGAUUUCUGCACGCCCAAAUCGGUUCGAGGUGCCAAGCUACCCUUCAGUUUCAUCAUACCAUCCCUAACGAUAACUGUAGAGUUGAUGGAGGAUGAAGACAGCAGAGAGAGCAAAAGAAACAGGUAAGAGCGGACAGGUAGUCAGAGUUAACAAAAACUGUUAAAGCCAGUGUAGCUUCUGUUUUGAACACAUUUAUUGAUGAUGAUUAUACAUAAAUAAGCAUCGAGAGCGUCCUGAGCAACUGCAUCACUGUCUAGUAUGGUAACUACACUGUGUCAGAUCGCAAUACCCUACAACUGAUAAGUGAGAGCAGCUGAGAAGAUCAUUGGAAUCCCUCUCCCCUCCAUCCGCAAAGCCACCAGCAUUAUGGAGGACCUCACACACUCCUCACACAGAGUUGAUGGAGGAUGAAGACAGCAGAGAGAGCAAAAGAAACAGGUAAGAGCAGACAGGUAGUCAAAGUUAACAAAAACUUUUAAAGCCAG